UUUUUUUUUUUUUUUUUUUUUGGCCUUUUUAGGGCAGCACCCUAAAAAGGUUCCCAGGAUAGGAGUCCAAUCAGAGCUGUAGCUGCUGGCCUACACCACAGCUCACAGCAAUGCCAGAUCCUUAACCCACUGAGCAAGGCCAGGGAUCGAACCUGCGUCUUCGUGGAUGCUAGUCGGGUUUGUCCACCACUGAGCCACAACAGGAACUCCCAUGCUGCCUUUCUAUAAUACUUUUUGAAAUGGAUGGUUGAAAGAGGAAAGGGAGUUGAUUUUAAUAAAACAUAUCCCAUUUCCAAAAAGUAGUUUGUAAAUGUUUUAGCUCAUCUGUAUUGUCCCUAGAGUGAUGUGCUGCUUUAUCUGCACAACUUUAGCACACAUGCUAUUAAAAAAAGUUUUCUGGUUGAUAAUUAUUAGUGUGCUUGGGGAUUUGGGGACACUAGAAAUUCAUGCUGAACGAGGAAGCACACCCUCUUCCCAUUUCCCUUCUACCUGGAGGACCAACUUCAAUUCUAAUGACCCCACUUAAAAAAAAAAAAAAAAAAAAAAAAAAAACCUCUCUUAAUAAAUAGAGUUCCUGAAAACUUGAGAUCCAGGCUCCAAAAAAGUAUCUGGGUAGAAUGGCUAAUGGAAACUAGCCAUAGGGUAGCCAGAGGCCAGAAAAGAAACCCAGGACAUCUCAAGAGAUCAGAAACACCCAAGCCAUCUUUAAAACAUACUCAGUGACUGUGUUACCCCAGUAAAGAAAUAUUCUUCCUUACUAAUAAUGAAAAAGCAAUAAUACUACAAAUGAAAUAUGAUUGGAUUUACGUUUGUUAAAAGUGGUAAAAUGUAAAGCACUCUAUCGAAAUUCCACUAAGUAGAUGGAGGGGCAAGAGAAAAGCAGAGGAUUAAGAGUUACAAACUGUUACCUGUACAAAAUAAAUAAGCCACACGGAUAUACAGUAGAGUACAGCACAGGGAGGAUAGCCAGUAUUCUAUAAUAAAUAUAAAUGGAAUAUCAUGUAUAAAAAUAUUGAAUCGCUAUGUUAUAGACCUGAAAUAUAAACCUGCAAAUCACUAUACUUCAAUUAAAAAAAAAAAAUUCAUGGAGUUCCCCUAUUGUGGCUCAGCGGGUUAAGAACCCAACAAUAUCCAUGAGGAUGUGGGUUCAAUCCCUAGCUUCAAUCAGUGGGUUAAGGAUCUGGUGCUGCCACAGGCUGUGACAUAUGUGGCAGAUUCAGCUCAGAUGCCCUGUGCUGUGGCUUAGCGUAGGCCAGCAGCUGCAGCUCCAAUUUGACCCCUAACCCAGGAACUUCCACAUGCAGCAGGUGCAGCCCUAAAAAGAAAAAGAAUAAGAAUUAAAAAAAUAAUAAUAAUUUAAAAAUCCACUCAGUAGAAAAGAUGAGAUUGAGGCACUUGCACCCUCUUCCCUCAAAGGAGGAUUUUAAAGGUCCAGAUUUGCCUGAAUUAUUCCCUUCCUUUCCUCUCCUACUUCGAGAAACAGCAACACCAUUAACAGGAGCUUCUCAAAAAAGAAAAUAAAACAUUUUGGCAAAAGUUGGUUGAUGACCACUAAGAUGAAGAGGGGAAGGGUUAGCAGUUCCCCCCCCCAAGACCAACCCCGGGGUUAGUCACUCCUUCUUGCUGCUGAUCUCUUAGCUCUAAAACGAGCCAACAAUCUAAAAACCCAUUAGAGGUAACAACUGAAAUGGAAGCUAAUUUUCAAAACUUAACUCAUCCUGCGCUAUAGCCAUUUCACAAACGAGAAUUUUUAUUUUGUUACAUGGUGUGUGCGCUUACCUAUGACCACUACAUACAAAAAAAUAGGAGAGCAAUGGUAAUGUCAUUGUUUCCAUUUAAAAAAAUAUUAAAUUGUUACCUACUCACUAAAAUAUUAAGUAAAAACCGGAGAAAAUCAACAAUGAGCAUAAAUUACAAUUCUUCCCAGAAGAGUUUAGUAUCUCCUACAGUUUCUAAGCCACAUUAAUAACAGAAAGCAAGCAUUACAUUUCACACUGAAAAUGUAUGGGAACAUUAAAAUCUAUUUUAAACGUGCAACAUCUAUCAAAACCUGAGGGUUCUAGAGCAUUUUCCAGCGACGCUGGUAUUUUCUUUAAACACCUACAAAUUAAAUCGAUCUCAAGAAUAUGUCAGCCUGUUUAAAAAUAGUUGUGGCAAAAAAAGAAGUUAAAAAUCCCAGAAGAAAAUGAAUAUGCUGCUUCAAAGUGGAGGUAAACAAAUUAUAUGUUAAUUCACAGAGAGUAUUUCUAAUUAAACAAAGUGUCUCCUCCCCUCAAAAAGGGCAAAGUUAAAAUUAGAUUGCUUAUUUUAUUCAUGGACGGUCCUAAUUAUAGCAUCUAGCUAUCAGAGUAUCAUGGAUAUUACUUUCAUCAAACUUUGUUUUAAUAUUUAUCUAAGACUGUACAAUGGCCUGAUUCAGAAGAGUUCAAAAACCUCGGAAAUGAGAAACUGAGGGAGUCAUGGUAAUGGAAA
This 2472-nucleotide long non-coding RNA is filed under the name Sus scrofa (pig). RNAcentral describes it as "lncRNA (ENSSSCG00030048229.1)". Lineage: Eukaryota; Metazoa; Chordata; Mammalia; Artiodactyla; Suidae. The record is from RNAcentral.